GAUGAACGCUAGCGGCAGGCUUAAUACAUGCAAGUCGUGGGGCAGCAUGAGUAGCAAUACUUGAUGGCGACCGGCAAACGGGUGAGGAACACGUACACAACCUUCCUUCAAGCGGGGAAUAGCCCAGAGAAAUUUGGAUUAAUACCCCAUAAUAUAUUUGAUAAGGCAUCUUAUUAAAUAUUAAAGCUUCGGCACUUGAUGAUGGGUGUGCGGCUGAUUAGAUAGUUGGCGGGGUAACGGCCCACCAAGUCUACGAUCAGUAGCUGAUGUGAGAGCAUGAUCAGCCACACGGGCACUGAGACACGGGCCCGACUCCUACGGGAGGCAGCAGUAAGGAAUAUUGGACAAUGGACGAAAGUCUGAUCCAGCCAUGCCGCGUGAAGGAUUAAGGUCCUCUGGAUUGUAAACUUCUUUAUAUGGGACGAAAAAGGGCAUUCUUGUUCACUUGACGGUACCAUAUGAAUAAGCACCGGCUAACUCCGUGCCAG
RNAcentral lists this ribosomal RNA (488 nucleotides) under uncultured bacterium. Its description in RNAcentral is "bacterial SSU rRNA". It matches the Rfam family "Bacterial small subunit ribosomal RNA", at positions 28 to 511 of the family's 1533-position model. The record is from RNAcentral.